RNAcentral lists this ribosomal RNA (2605 nucleotides) under human gut metagenome. Its description in RNAcentral is "bacterial LSU rRNA". It matches the Rfam family "Bacterial large subunit ribosomal RNA", at positions 1 to 2619 of the family's 2925-position model. The record is from RNAcentral.
AUAAGUUGACAAGAGCAUCGGGUGGAUGCCUUGGCGUCAGAAGGCGAUGAAAGACGUGGUAAGCUGCGAUAAGCCUCGGGGAGGAGCUAAACAUCCUUUGAGCCGGGGAUUUCUGAAUGGGGAAACCCAGCGGGAGUCAUGUCCCGUUAACAUUCACUGAAUUCAUAGGUGACUGUGGCUAACGCAGGGAAGUGAAACAUCUCAGUACCUGCAGGAAGAGAAAUCAAUCGAGAUUCCCCAAGUAGCGGCGAGCGAACGGGGAAGAGCCCAAACCGCGCGGAUUCGUCCGUACGGGGUUGUAGGGCCGGAAUGACCGAUUCACGCGUAACCAGAAGAAGUGAGCAGGAAAGCUCCGCCAGAGAGGGUGACAGUCCCGUAUUCGAAAGUGAGAGUGACGGUUCCGGUACCUGAGUACUGCGAGACACGUGAAAUCUCGUGGGAAUCCGGGAGGACCAUCUCCUAAGGCUAAAUACUAACUGACGACCGAUAGUGUACCAGUACCGUGAGGGAAAGGUGAAAAGAACCCCUGUCAGGGGAGUGAAAGAGAAUCUGAAACCUGGUGCUUACAAGCUGUGGGAGCCGUACUUGUACGGUGACCAUGUGCCUUUUGCAUAAUGAGUCAGCGAGUUAAUCUGUACAGCAAGGUUAAGCGUAAGUGAAGCCGCAGCGAAAGCGAGUCCGAACAGGGCCACAGUUGUGCGGAUUAGACCCGAAACCGGGUGAUCUAUCCAUGAGCAGGUUGAAGCAAGGGUAAAGCCUUGUGGAGGACCGAACCAGUUCUGGCUGAAAACAGUUUGGAUGACUUGUGGAUAGGGGUGAAAGGCCAAUCAAACCCGGUGAUAGCUGGUUCUCCCCGAAAUAUAUUGAGGUAUAGCCUUGCGGAUUGUCUUAUGGAGGUAAAGCUCUGACAGAACUAGGGGUCCUAUCCGACUACCGAAUUCUUUCAAACUCUGAAUACCAUUAAGAUUUACCGCAGGAGUCAGACGGCGGGUGCUAAGGUUCGUCGUCAAAAGGGCAACAGCCCAGACCGACAGCUAAGGCCUCCAAAUGCAUGCUCAGUGGUUAAGGUGGUGGCGUUGUGUAGACACCCAGGACGUUGGCUUAGAAGCAGCCAUCGUUUAAAGAAAGCGUAAUAGCUCACUGGUUCAAUGGCGCUGCGCCGAAAAUGUAACGGGGCUAAGCAUGCUGCCGAAGCUUCGGAUUUGUCUCUGACAACUGGUAGGGGAGCGUUCUCUGCGGGCUGAAGCGGAACCGAAAGGUUUCGUGGACUGCAGAGAAGUGAUUAUGCUGACAUGAGUAACGAUAAAAUAUGUGAAAAACAUAUUCGCCGUAAAUCCAAGGUUUCCUGGGUAAAGGUAAUCUUCCCAGGGUUAGUCGGACCCUAAGGCCAGGCUGAAAGGCGUAGCUGAUGGGAAACGGGUUAAUAAUCCUGUACUUGUGCGAUUGUGCGAAGAAGGGACGCAGGAUGGUAGACAGGCCGGUUUUUGGAAUCCGGUGCAAGUGCGUAGGCGUGCUCCGCAGGCAAAUCCGCGGGGAUGAGCCGAGACACAAGUCCGUGGGCGUAAGCCCUGAAGCUGUUGAGCCACGGCUGCCAAGAAAAGCUUCUAAGUUUAGAUCGCGCGAACCGUACCGCAAACCAACUCAGGUGGAUGGGAUGAAUAAUCCAAGGCGCUCGAGAGAACUCUGGCCAAGGAACUCGGCAAAAUAACCCCGUAACUUCGGGAUAAGGGGUGGUCAUUUCGGUGACCGGCACUAAAGACGUCCAGGCAACUGUUUACCAAAAACACAGGUCUCUGCUAAGUCGUAAGACGAUGUAUAGGGGCUGACACCUGCCCAGUGCUGGAAGGUUAAGAGGAGUGCUUAGAUAGACGCGAGUCGAUGAUUCGAAGGUACGAAUUGAAGCCCCAGUGAACGGCGGCCGUAACUAUAACGGUCCUAAGGUAGCGAAAUUCCUUGUCAGGUAAGUUCUGACCCGCACGAAAGGUGUAAUGAUCUGGAUACUGUCUCAACCAUAGACUCGGUGAAAUCUUAAUACCUGUGAAAAUGCAGGUUACCCGCGACUGGACGGAGAGACCCCGUGGAGCUUUACUGUAGCUUGAUAUUGGGAUUCGGUAAAUUAUGUAGAGCAUAGGUGGGAGACUAUGAGAUUAAGGCGCCAGCCUUAAAGGAGUCAUCAUUGGAAUACCACCCUUAGUUUAUUGAAUUUCUAACCUAGGACCAUGAUCUGGUUCAGGGACAGUGUCUGGUGGGCAGUUUGACUGGGGCGGUCGCCUCCUAAAAUGUAACGGAGGCGUUCAAAGGUUCCCUCAGAAUGGUUGGAAAUCAUUCGCAGAGCGUAAAGGUAUAAAGGGAGCUUGACUGCGAGACCUACAAGUCAAGCAGGUGCGAAAGCAGGACUUAGUGAUCAGGCGAUUCAGAAUGGAAUGGUCGUCGCUUAACGGAUAAAAGUUACCCCGGGGAUAACAGGCUGAUACCACCCAAUAGUUCACAUAGACGGUGGUGUUUGGCACCUCGAUGUCGGCUCGUCACAUCCUGGAGGUGGAGUCGCUUCCAAGGGUUGGGCUGUUCGCCCAUUAAAGUGGCACGCGAGCUGGGUUCAGAACGU